GAUGAACGCUGGCGGCGUGCCUAAUACAUGCAAGUCGAGCGAACAGAUAAGGAGCUUGCCCCGUUGACGUUAGCGGCGGACGUGUGAGUAACACGUGGGUAACCUACCGAUAAGACUGGAAUAACUCCGGGAAACCGGGUCUAAUGCCGUAUAACAUUUAGAACCGCAUAGUUCUAAAGUGAAAGAUGGUUUUGCUAUCACUUAUAGAUCGAGCCGCGCCGUAUGAGCUAGUUGGUAAGGUAACGGUUUACCAAGCCAACGCUACGUAGCCGACCUGAGCGGCUGCUGGGCCACACUGGAACUGAGACCUGGUCCACACUCCUACGGGAGGCAGACGCCGGGAACCUUCCCAACUGGGCGAAAGCCUGACGCAGCAACGCCGCGUGAGUGAUGAAGGUCCUCGGAUCGUAAAACUCCGUUCAUCGGGACGAAGACAUGUGUAAGUAACUGUGCACGUUUUGACGGUACCUAAUCAGAAAGCAACGGCUAACUACGUG
Molecule: ribosomal RNA, 497 nt
Filed under: uncultured bacterium
Lineage: Bacteria
Description: partial 16S ribosomal RNA
Rfam family: Bacterial small subunit ribosomal RNA
Source: RNAcentral